Molecule: ribosomal RNA, 636 nt
Filed under: Triticum aestivum (bread wheat)
Lineage: Eukaryota; Viridiplantae; Streptophyta; Magnoliopsida; Poales; Poaceae
Description: partial small subunit ribosomal RNA
Source: RNAcentral
AUGACCCACGAAGUCACAAACACACGUCCCCCACGCCCCAUUCUCCCCCACGUCGCUCCCAAUCACGUCUCUCUUGCCAAACCUGAGAAAUUUCACCACCGCCGCUAUACUCCUCAUUCGCCUCGUGCUCGUUGGCCGCAGUCCUGGUCGUGGGAGCACGGCCGCCGGGAUGCCGUACGUACUGGGAGCUCGGCCGCCGGGAUGGGGUAUGGGCUGGGAGCUCGCCGCCAGGAUGGGGAUAGGGUGGGAGCGCGGUGCACGAUUGGAGGAAAAUACGCCGCCGCCGCCGCUCCACUCAUUCACCUUGUGAGUUUCCUUUUCUAUUGGUUGACUUUGACUUUCACGUCGCCGGCAAGGAUAGCGAGGCAGUCGAUCAGGACGGCGAGGGCGAGGGAGGUCGGUGUGGAUGCUGCGGCGGCGGCAGCCUCAUCGCAGGUGACACUGACAUCGAUCGAUCCCUGGAACCCGCCUUCCUGCACUCCAGUGAUGCGACACGCCCAUGCCGCCUCUCCUCCCUCUAAGGCCGAUCUAUUCAACGCAUCAAGGUUUUUGAGCAUACAUUCUGGAUCAUACGCCUCGCAGGCAUUCAAUAACUUGCAGGAUAUACUCAGAGGUUUGACUUGGCGACUUGGCUGA